RNAcentral lists this ribosomal RNA (1325 nucleotides) under metagenome. RNAcentral describes it as "bacterial LSU rRNA". It matches the Rfam family "Bacterial large subunit ribosomal RNA", at positions 1561 to 2925 of the family's 2925-position model. The record is from RNAcentral.
AGUGGAUGGGGAGCAACCUAGUUGUGCGUGUGUAAAGGUAGUGCCAAGAAAAGCGGUGAUCAUGAUGAAAAUCAAUUCCCGGUACCCGAAACCGACACAGGUGGGCAAGUAGAGAAUACUAAGGGGCGCGAGGUAACUCUCUCCAAGGAACUCGGCAAAAUGACCCCGUAACUUAGGGAGAAGGGGUGCCACCGAGAGGUGGUCGCAGUGAAGAGGCCCAGGCGACUGUUUAGCAAAAACAUAGGUCUCUGCAAACUCGAAAGAGGAGGUAUAGGGGCUGACGCCUGCCCAGUGCCGGAAGGUUAAAGAAGUUGGUCAGUCUUAGGAUAAAGCUAGCGACUGAAGCCCCGGUGAACGGCGGCCGUAACUAUAACGGUCCUAAGGUAGCGAAAUUCCUUGUCGGGUAAGUUCCGACCCGCACGAAAGGCGUAACGAUCUGGGCGCUGUCUCGGAGAGAGGCUCGGCGAAAUAGGAUUGUCUGUGAAGAUACGGACUACCUGCAUUUGGACAGAAAGACCCUAUGAAGCUUUACUAUAGCUUGGAAUUGUGUUCGGGCUUCCUGUGCGCAGGAUAGGUGGGAGGCGAAGAAGGUAUUCUUGUGGGGAUACUGGAGCCAACGGUGAGAUACCACUCUCAGGAGGCUAGAAUUCUAACUUAAUUAAGGACAGUUUCAGGUGGGUAGUUUGACUGGGGCGGUCGCCUCCAAAAAGGUAACGGAGGCGUACAAAGGUUCCCUCAGACUGGUUGGAAAUCAGUCGCAGAGUGCAAAGGCAGAAGGGAGCUUGACUGCGAGAAGUACAGUUCGAGCAGGGUGGAAACACGGUCUUAGUGAUCCGACGGUGCUGUGUGGAAGGGCCGUCGCUCAACGGAUAAAAGUUACUCUAGGAUAACAGGCUGAUCUCCCCCAAGAGUUCACAUCGACGGGGAGGUUUGGCACCUCGAUGUCGGCUCAUCGCAACCUGGGGCGGUAGUACGUCCCAAGGGUUGGGCUGUUCGCCCAUUAAAGCGGUACGUGAGCUGGGUUCAGAACGUCGUGAGACAGUUCGGUCCAUAUCCGAUGUAGGCGUGAGAAUAUUGAGAGGAGCCUUCCUUAGUACGAGAGGACCGGGAAGGACGCACCGCUGGUGUACCUGUUAUGAUGCCAAUUGUAAACGCAGGGUAGCCAAGUGCGGAGAGGAUAACCGCUGAAAGCAUCUAAGUGGGAAGCCCACCUCAAGAUGAGUAUUCUGGUGUAAGGUCACGGGAAGACGACCCGUAAAUAGGCACGAGGUGGAAGUGCAGAGAUGUAUGAAGCCGAAGUGUACUAAUAGACCGUCGGCUUGACC